RNAcentral lists this ribosomal RNA (253 nucleotides) under uncultured bacterium. RNAcentral describes it as "partial 16S ribosomal RNA". It matches the Rfam family "Bacterial small subunit ribosomal RNA", at positions 524 to 776 of the family's 1533-position model. The record is from RNAcentral.
UACGGAGGGUGCAAGCGUUGUCCGGAAUCACUGGGCGUAAAGGGCGCGUAGGCGGCUCAUGAAGGCUGUGGUGAAAGUCCGGGGCUCAACCUCGGAUCGGCCGUGGCGACUCGUGGGCUGGAGUACUGCAGGGGAGACUGGAAUUCCUGGUGUAGCGGUGGAAUGCGCAGAUAUCAGGAGGAACACCGGUGGCGAAGGCGGGUCUCUGGGCAGUAACUGACGCUGAGGAGCGAAGGCGUGGGGAGCGAACAGG